GCCCGCUCAGAAACUCAAAUGAAUUGACGGGGCCCGCACAAGCGGUGGAGUAUGUGGUUAAUUCGAUGCAACGCGAAGAACCUUACCUGGUCUUGACAUCCCGGAGACCCUUAGGAAACUAGGGGGUGCUUCCAUCUGGAAGAAUCUGGAGACAGGUGCUGCAUGGCUGUCGUCAGCUCGUGUCGUGAGAUGUUGGGUUAAGUCCCGCAACGAGCGCAACCCUUGCCUUUAGUUGCCAGCAGUUCGGCUGGGCACUCUAAAGGGACUGCCGGUGUUAAACCGGAGGAAGGUGGGGAUGACGUCAAGUCCUCAUGGCCUUUAUGACCAGGGCUACACACGUACUACAAUGGCCGAUACAAAGGGCAGCGACACUGCGAGGUGAAGCCAAUCCCGUAAAAUCGGUCUCAGUCCGGAUUGGAGUCUGCAACUCGACUCCAUGAAGUUGGAAUCGCUAGUAAUCGUGGAUCAGCAUGCCACGGUGAAUACGUUCCCGGGCCUU
RNAcentral lists this ribosomal RNA (499 nucleotides) under uncultured Desulfobulbus sp. RNAcentral's name for it is "bacterial SSU rRNA". It matches the Rfam family "Bacterial small subunit ribosomal RNA", at positions 887 to 1382 of the family's 1533-position model. Lineage: Bacteria; Pseudomonadati; Thermodesulfobacteriota; Desulfobulbia; Desulfobulbales; Desulfobulbaceae. The record is from RNAcentral.